UGAACGCUACCGGAAGGCUUAACACAUGCAAGUCGAGGGGUAACAGGGAAAAGCUUGCUUUUCCGCUGACGACCGGCGCACGGGUGCGUAACACGUAUGCAACCUACCUCUUACUGAGGAAUAGCCCAGAGAAAUUUGGAUUAAUACCUCAUAACACCACAAGAUCGCAUGAUCUAAUGGUUAAAGGUUACGGUAAGAGAUGGGCAUGCGGCCUAUUAGUUUGUUGGUGAGGUAAUGGCUCACCAAGACUACGAUGGGUAGGGGGUCUGAGAGGACUAUCCCCCACACUGGUACUGAGACACGGACCAGACUCCUACGGGAGGCAGCAGUGAGGAAUAUUGCGCAAUGGACGAAAGUCUGACGCAGCCAUGCCGCGUGAAGGAUGACGGCGCUACGCGUUGUAAACUUCUUUUAUAUACCAAGAAACCUUCGGACGUGUCCGAAGCUGACGGUAGUAUAUGAAUAAGCACCGG
RNAcentral lists this ribosomal RNA (473 nucleotides) under uncultured bacterium. RNAcentral's name for it is "bacterial SSU rRNA". It matches the Rfam family "Bacterial small subunit ribosomal RNA", at positions 30 to 496 of the family's 1533-position model. The record is from RNAcentral.